GACAAUCUGGCCGAGUGGUUAUGGCGUGUGACUCAAGCAUAAGCUUGCCAGUUCUCAAACUGGCUGGGUUUCUCAUGGGCUUUGCCCGCGUGGGUUCGAAUCCCACGGUUGUCA
This 114-nucleotide transfer RNA is filed under the name Delitschia confertaspora ATCC 74209. It matches the Rfam family "tRNA". Rfam says of the family: Transfer RNA (tRNA) molecules are approximately 80 nucleotides in length. Their secondary structure includes four short double-helical elements and three loops (D, anti-codon, and T loops). Further hydrogen bonds mediate the characteristic L-shaped molecular structure. tRNAs have two regions of fundamental functional importance: the anti-codon, which is responsible for specific mRNA codon recognition, and the 3' end, to which the tRNAs corresponding amino acid is attached (by aminoacyl-tRNA synthetases). tRNAs cope with the degeneracy of the genetic code in two manners: having more than one tRNA (with a specific anti-codon) for a particular amino acid; and 'wobble' base-pairing, i.e. permitting non-standard base-pairing at the 3rd anti-codon position. The record is from Rfam by way of RNAcentral. Lineage: Eukaryota; Fungi; Ascomycota; Dothideomycetes; Pleosporales; Delitschiaceae.